UGUUACACUUUAUAUAAAUUAUAAUAUUACCUGGGUAUUAAACAGUUAUUGUCUUGAAACUCAAAGGAUUUGGCGGUAACUUAGUCUAUUUAGAGGAACCUGUCCUAUAAUCGAUAGUCCACGAAAAAUCUUACUUUAUCUUGUAGAAGACAGUUUGUAUACCGUCAUUAUUAGAUAACUUUAAUAAAAUAUAAAGUUGUUGAAAUAGUUUAGCUAAUAUAUUAGAUCAAGGUGCAGCUCAUGAUAGAGGAAGAGAUGGGUUACAAUAUAAUAAAUAUAAACGGAGUAAUGAGCGAAUGUUCAUUACUGAAGGUGGAUUUAAAAGUAAGAGGAUUUUAAUAAGAUCUUCUGACUUUAGCUCUAGGUUAU
Molecule: ribosomal RNA, 369 nt
Filed under: Penaeus brevirostris
Lineage: Eukaryota; Metazoa; Arthropoda; Malacostraca; Decapoda; Penaeidae
Description: partial 12S ribosomal RNA
Source: RNAcentral